ACAGGGGCCUGCUCAUUCCCGGCAUGCUGUGCGUCUCCUCUGGAAGGACUGGGCGUGCCCGGCGUGCUGUGCGUCCCCUCCGGAAGGACUGGGCGUGCCCGGCGUGCUGUGCGUCUCCUCCGGAAGGACUGGGCGUGCCCGGCGUGCUGUGCGUCCCCUCCGGAAGGACUGGGCGUGCCCGGCGUGCUGUGCGUCUCCUCUGGAAGGACUGGGCGUGCCCGGCGUGCUGUGCGUCCCCUCCGGAAGGACUGGGCAUGCAGUCUGUAGAGUCCGUCCACACGAAGAAGACUCCCAUCCACACCUUCCAGGUGGACCACCUGCUACAUGGAGUUAGAAGCCAGGAAUCACGUGACUGCCCGCCCAAUCGUGACCCAUCACAGGCUCUGUGCACAAGGCACAGACAUUUAAAGUCAUUUUUAUUGAGGCGUGAUUUGGGGUGUCCUGAUAAGAAGAGGAGCUGAGGACACAGACAUGUCCAGCGGGACCUUGGGAGGACAUAGAGGGAAGACGCCUUCUGCAAACCACUGAGAGAGGCCUCGAGGAACCAGCCCUGGCCGACACCUUGAUAUGGGACUUCCAGCCUCCAGGACGGUAAAACACUUAGUCCAAACAGAUGCAGGGACCUGCCAAUGGGAUAUAAACGUAACAUCCAUGCUUGAGAAUGGAUUCUUUCACUCUCAUCCCUUUGCACAGAAGACUCCAGGCAGAAAAAUUAUACAGACCACAUUUAUUCUACUUCUUCCAUUGUUCCAAAAGUUGAUACUUGGGAUCCAUUGAGAUGCGGUCUCUACCUGGCCUCCCCCAUGUUGACUGCUUUUGUACUGCACCCAUGGAGACAAAGAAAAGACAAAGAAGACGGAACCUCCAUGUUGAAUAUACCUGGUUCCAGGGCGAGGUUCAGCAAUUACAAUAGUGACAUCAGAGAUCGCUGAUAACAGAUCAUCAUCACAGAUGUGAUAACAAGAAAAAAAUGAGAUAUUUUUAUCAUUGAUGUGAUGGCAAAUAUUGAGUAUCAACUUGAUUGAAUUGAAGGAUGCAAGGUAUUAUUCCUGGGUGUGUCUGUGAGGGUGUUGCCAAAGGAGGUUAACAUUUGAGUUGGUGAACUGGGAAAGGCAGACCCACCCUCAGUCUGGGUGGGCACCAUCUAAUCAGCUGCCAGCAUGGCUAGGAUAAAAGCAGGCAGAGGAAGGUGGACGGACUAGACUUGUUAAGUCUUCUGGCCUCCAUCUUUCUCCUGUGCUGGAUGCUUCCUGCCCUCGAACAUUGGACUCCAAGUUCUUCAGCUUCUGGACUCUUGGACCUACACCAGUGGUUUGCAGGGGCUCUCGGGCCUUUGACCACAGACUGAAGGCUGCACUGUCGGCUUCCCUACUUCUGAGAUUUUGGAACUUGGACUGGCUUCCUUGCUCCUCAGCUUGCAGAAGGCCUAUUGUGGGCCUUCACCUUGUGAUCAUAUGAGUCAAUUCUCCUUAAUAAACUCCGUUUCAUAUAUACAUCUAUCCGAUCAGUCCUGUCCCUCUAGGGAACCCUGACUAAUACAAUUGUCAAAAUGUGACACAGAGGCACAAAGUGAGCACCUGCUGUAGGAAAAAUGGUGCUGAUAGACUUGACUCAGGGUUGCCACAAAAUUCAGUUUGUAAAAAACACAGUAUCUGCAUAAUGCAAUAAAAGAAGAUAGGCAUGCCAUAUUCUUCAUGAUUUUCAUGGGAAUAUAGUGUAUCUUUAGAGAGCACUGUCCAUUUAUAAUAAUCCUACACUUAAAUAAACAUUUUUCAUUACCCUUUCUAAAAAUAAUUUUAGUAGUUCAGUUUAAUUGCUAUUUUAUCUAUUGAAGGUUCAUUAAUUAAACUCAAUAAGUUACUUAAAAAAAAAUCCUUAUUGUUGAUAAUGCCUGAAAUUAAUGCACUCUGGAGUAUCUGUUUACAAGAUGAAACUGUCGUACUAAUUAUAACUAAAACAAACACUUUACCUCAAGCCUCUCACUUAGCCAAAAAGUGACCUAUUAUGGGAAAACACACAAACAAAGUGAUAGUUACUGAGCCCAAAACUUAAUAAAUGGAAGUGAAGAGUUCCGAAAAAGGGCUGUAUGUUACAAACGAUCUUUGAAAGCAACAGUGUUAGGAAUGCAAUUAUAACAUUUGCACAGUGACUCUUUUGUUAUUUAGUAUCUUACGUAUUUUUUCAUUUGAUCCAAACAAUUGCCCAGCUAGGAAGUUUUUCUGAGUAUGAUUCUCUUUUUUUUUUAAAUAUCAUGUAAACCAAGAUUCUAGGAAAAAAAAAAAGACUCAAAUCUAACAUCAUCAUUGUGAAAGAGGUAAGACUUGAAUUUGUAUUUCUUAUCACUUUUUUUUCAUAAAACUCUUUCUGUUCCCACAGGUGGCCUUUUCUAAUAACCAGUAUCACAACGGGCCUUCUUAAUGUGGGUUUUUAAAACCACAAACAAAAACCAUUAGCUUCAAACCUUUGAAGACUACUUAAAAAUAAAUGCGCAUAAUUCUAGGGGGAAUAGUCUCACCAAAUAAUCAUUUGCAAAGCCCUUUGUAAUUAAGUACAGGGGACAUUACUGGGAUGCAAUGUUCCGUAAAGAGCUCGACUGUUGUUCUUGCAAGAAUGCACCCAAACAAUGAUAAUAAGUGAAACAAUGAUUGAUAAAAUGAUAGCAAUGCUCAAUUUCCAAAUCAGAAUUUGCCUGCCAAUUGAUGUCGGAAAGAACAUCCUUUUCUGAGAACUGGCGUCCUCUUAGAAAGGUUUUUGAAGGGCAAAGGUCUGGUCUUCAUCAUAUCGCUCAGUUUUCUUUUUUCUUUCAUUAUAAGUAUCCUCGUAGGAUAAAUUUUAAUCUGAACCUAAACUAAUUCCCUGUCAAACAAACUAGAAAUGAAAACUUUUACAAAGGUACUAAAGGGCAACCCUUGGAACGAACUCUCUUUGGUUAUGCCUAGACUAGAAAAAAGCUAUUUUUAUUAGGUACAGAAGUAGACCUGAGUGUUGGACUCUGGAAUAGGCACCACCUUGCCCAGGCAGAGAGGAAAUGAGCAUGACUCUUCCUCAGUCAGUGAUAUUAACAAGCCGAAGGCAGCAGAAGACUGAUCAAGGCAGAAGGGUGACUGGUUUAUGAAAGAGCUGAACUAUUUAUUAGCCCACAUUAAUCUCACAUACAAAUAAAUAUAUGUGAAAAUUUAGAGUAAGAAACUUGAGGCCAGCUCCUAGAUGUGCAGUUUACAGAGCAAAGUUCCACUAAAAUUCUGCGUCACUCUCUGUGUGAGUCAUUUAUUUAAUUUUUAAACAAGCAUAAGGUGUCUUUGUGUUCACUCAAUGUAUCAGGCAUUGUUUUGAACACCUAAUCAAAGAAAGCAGAGAUGUGAUGUCUGCCCCCAUAGGAGGUUAUUGACCAGUUGCACUGACAGCUGAAAUAUCCACAAGCCUGAGACACGUCCUGGGCCACGGUCGUGGUAGGAACAGCAUGCUGUGGAAACAGGCGGGUGACACACCACGUCAAUCUGGACCUUUCUAAGGCUUCCUGGGGGAGGUGACACUCCGGAUGGGAUACAGAAGAUCAAACAGAGACUAUUUAAGAGUGUGAGAACAGAGACCAGGGUUCAGAUGGAGUCUAAAUAGUUAUGUAUGGCUUCAUUCCAUCUUCCAUUUUAACGUACUCAUGAAGAGUCAAAGAAAAGCACCUGAGAUGCGUCAGGGCCCACCGCCGGCGCUGAGGAUGGAACAGUGAACACAGCAAGCCACGUCCUUCCUCCUAGGGCCCAUAUUCUGAUGGAAGGAGUCAGACGAAAGGCAGAGAAAUGCAAUAGAAAAUCGAAUACUGCAUGUGAUGAUUGAUAAGUGAAAUCUAAACAUUGGGUACUCGUGGACACGAAGAGGGGAACAACAGACGCUGUGGACAACUAGAGCUACGGGUGGAAAAGUCUCAAGCCACCAGCUCAGCAGCUGCAUCUUCAAGGAGGCAUCUGGCAGGGAGGCUGCAGCUGGAGCACUGAUUGGCGACAUUCAUCACAGCUCACUGUCGUGCUCUGGGAUCUGGCUGGUCUUUAAAGGAUACAUCUGCUGAGGUAAAUGGAGAUAUAGUGAGGACCACCCCACCACAGCUCUUAGGUCCUUCAUAGUGGCAGUAAUUUUUGCCUUUCCCCCUCUGGGAUGUAGUACCAUUUUUGAUGCAUUGUUUAGACAAGGGGAAGAAAGUUUUUGAGGCUUUCACUUCAUCUUAAGUACAAUAAUCAUCACUCCACAAGUCAAGGAACAAAUAUGGAGGUUUCUUCAACAACCAGAGAUAUUUGAGGGCAGUGGAAAUAACCAUAAGGUGGAGGUGGCCAGUGGGAACCAUGUUGAGCCAGGCUUGCAUCAGAACUCCAUUUAUCACCUGACCUCACCUCGCGCCUACUCUAUGAGGAGGCUUUAAUGUCACCUUAGCUCUUAAGGUACCAAUGACAACAAGAACUUUGCAUCAGACAGGCCUCAAAAUGCAUUUUUCCCCAGUGUGCAGUCUCCCAAGUAAAGAUACUGGAAGGACUGGAGAAUCUUUACGCUGGACGCCUUCCUUGGAACCGCAAGAACUUCAGCUCUCCUUCAAGCAGUGGGGCCUGCGUCUGAAAACUGGAUCCACUUGAAGCACACAAAGAGUCUUGACUUUUUAGUUUUUUUUUUUUUUUUUUGCGGUGCCUGCCCUCUGCCUCCUGACCACCCCUGCGGUAUUUAUUCCUAUUGAGCAGACUGGGAAGUGACGCUAGGUGCGUGUGAGCAGAGAUACUGUAUUUUAUGAACAAUCUUCAUAACUCCCUGUGGGUCAAUCCCAUAACUCCCUGGCUGCCACUCCAGCCUUUCCAGCCAUUAUGACAAUUCACCCCACCUGGCUUGUGACAGUUAAGCAUUACCAUGUGGCCUCUACUUUUCGAGGUUCGAGUAUCCCUAUUGAUCCUCAUAAGCCAGGUCUUGAAACUGAACCACCCACCAUCAGUCCUGGCCUGCAGAAAGGAGCAAGAUCAGAGCCUCCCAGGAUGUGAGGACCACGCCCCCGGCAUGCUGUUUAUUGUGUUGCUGUGCCCAUUGCCAGCCAGUCAGCCUGGUGCAGGCUGAUUAAAACUCUUAGGCAGUUGCCUCAAAGAGACAUUAAGCCUUGCUUGAAUUAAAUGCUGACACACAUUAGACACUAGAACUUUCAUAUGGUUCCAUGUCAUUGUGAAAUUGAUGGAGUUUCUCUGUUUGUUUCUUUAAUUUUAAUUUUUCUAAAGCACAAGAUUGAAAUAAGCCUCGCUAUUAGGUAGUUGAGAGAUAAGCUUGGUAUUCACUGUGGGAAAUCUUUAUGACAGACGUUAUUGUUUGGGGUAUGUAUUAAGAGAAAUGGUUAAACUGUGAAGGCCUCUAAGCUAAACUCUGGCUUUUGGAUCAUAAAACCUCUUCCAUUUACACAAAUAAAUUACAUUAUGUUACUUUCUCCUGUUUUAUAGCUGAAAAUACCAAGUGUUUUGGUAGACAAAUGACAAGCUAUCAGCCUGUCCCUAUUGCAAGUUGCAGACAGAUGUUUGAUAACCACAGUUAUCACAGAUGGAAGGGGCUGUGUCGAGACACCUUCUCCUGGGGGGCUAUUAGUCUCUGAUCUGUGAUAUGCUGUGGGGGAAGAGAGAAGAAAAUAGGAAGCACCAGCAUUACAGCCAUUUAUCACCCACCACUGUGUGUGGAAUAAAUGGAUCCUCUUUCAAGAUAGUCUAUUAUCUGCCGCUUGCCGGCUUCAUGCUGUCAUAUGUUUUUUUCAGUAGUCAAUAAAUUGCUGAAGGCCACAUUUGGAGAGUAAGUACCGCUGUAUGUCUAACUUUAUAUAUUGUUCUUUUAUUUACUGCAGCAUUUACCCAUUUUCUGGAGAGUCUACUAUAUACAUGGAGGUUUUAUUUUUUUUAUACUUACCAGAUCAUUUUAUGGAUGAUAGUUUACCAAAUUUAUUUUUAUAAUAAAUAAACCAACAAAACAUAGCUUUAGAAAAAAUCUUGUCCCUGCCUCAAAGUAUUUAAACACGCCCACACUUCAGCUUCUCAGAAAGAAACCUGCCCACUCCUUCAUUUAAUCUUGUCUUUCUUUCAAUCUGUGCUUUCUUCAACCAGUGUGCACACCACAUAUGGGACCCUAUAAACCAUGUAUUAAUUGGUGCAGAACACCACUUUCCUUUAACAUUAAAGGUGAAUAACUAGGAAUUAUUUCCUAAUCUCUAUUUUAUAAAUGCAGGGGAAAAGAGGCAAGGUUGAGAUUCAUUCCAGAGUGUUUACAGGUAAGGAAUUUUCAACAACCUUUGUUCUGCCCAGCCAGGCAUUCACCCACUAAUUUAUUAGGGACAAGAUCAAUAGCCUCAACGAGAUUGUAGUGCUUAAC
Molecule: long non-coding RNA, 6366 nt
Filed under: Homo sapiens (human)
Lineage: Eukaryota; Metazoa; Chordata; Mammalia; Primates; Hominidae
Description: HSALNT0157460
Source: RNAcentral